This 25-nucleotide microRNA is filed under the name Bombyx mori (domestic silkworm). Its description in RNAcentral is "bmo-miR-3340". Lineage: Eukaryota; Metazoa; Arthropoda; Insecta; Lepidoptera; Bombycidae. The record is from miRBase by way of RNAcentral.
UAUACGGAUGCGAUGACGAUCGGCU